Molecule: long non-coding RNA, 1281 nt
Filed under: Scophthalmus maximus (turbot)
Lineage: Eukaryota; Metazoa; Chordata; Actinopteri; Pleuronectiformes; Scophthalmidae
Description: lncRNA (ENSSMAG00000033633.1)
Source: RNAcentral
GAGGGGAGGGCACGAUUGUGGGAACGGAAGGAGGCCAGAGAGGCGGGGGGAUCAGGCCUGGGUGGGGGCGGGAGAGGGAACGGGUUAAACAAGUUGACGCUGUGCAUCUUUGUGUGUCUGUGUGUGUGUGUGUGUGUGUCUGUGUGUGUGUCUGUGUGUGUGUGUGUCUGUGUGUGUGUCUGUGUGUGUGAGAGAGAGAGAGAGAGAGAGAGAAGCUGUAUGCCUAAUCUUUGUGUAAUACACGUUCCUUUAUGUGAAUGCAUUUAAUAGCACUCUCCGGUUUCCCCGUGAAGUGUUUAUGUUAAUUGUUCACUAUUUUGAGGCCGAGUUUGACACAUUUACGAUGUCCCGUGUUAUUUUGCCCCCGGCCCUCUUACAUCAUUCAUUGUUUUGCUUUCCACAGCCCUUCACUCUCUGGAAAACGCUGCUGGAAAAGAACCUCAGAGCUGCACCGUACAUACGGUUCCAGGCUGUAAGGAAGCCCGGUAGCAUUCCCUUUCUCUCUCGCUUCCCUCAGUCGAUCAACCCGAGGCUCUGCAGUUUGCUUCAAUCACAGCUUUCUAAAUGGAAACACAUGGAAGGUCAUCUACUGACUGAUUCCCAGAAUUCCUGGCUAUGAGGUCACUCUGUGUCUACGUUGUUUACUGAUCCUGGCUUUCACUGCUUGAAAAUGGAAAUGUAACCUCGCCCUCACCAGGAACACCGUGGGGCUCGAUGUUGGCAUCAGCACUACUGAGGUCGAACCAUUGUAAGGUGAUUUGUUUAAACAAUGCUUUUUGGGUUUAUCUUGAUGAGCUUUAUGGCACUAAUCCACAUGUAAAGAUAGAUAAUGAAGCUCCUCAGUCCUGCAGGAACCAUUAGUGGGUCCGUCAAUACAAACUAUGGGAAAAUAUAUAAAAGGAUGCACAAAGAAUUUCUCAAUGUUACCAUAAAAUGUGUUUGAUUGAAGUGCUGGGAGAAGCAGAUGCAGCGUAUUUACAUGUGAUAAUGUACAAAAAAAAAAAAAAGAUGUACAUCGAGGGAAAAAAAUGAAGGUGCUGAACCACACUUUUUAGGGAAGUGACUCAAUAGCUGAGCUUUUGCCUAACGUUGACUCUUCUAUUGUGAAAUCUGUGAGACUGCAUCUGUCAUGGGGACGGAUUAAUUCCACCUGGCUGAGCGAGCCUGUUGCAUAACACCUUACUCACAAUGAGAGAGGACAGAUUGACUCAGGCUGUCGUCUUGCCUGCCAGCAUCGGUUUACAGGACCAGUAAUUCUGUUCCUUCUUCCUUCUUCUCAGC